AUGGAGCUUCAGCAGUUCGGCUUUCCUGCUGAGUUGCUCUGCAGGAUGUGUUGCCUCUCCCAGCCUGUGCUGACUCAGCCGGCAUCCCCCUCUGCAUAUCCAGGAGCAACAGCCAGACUCACCUGCACCCUGAGCAGUGGGUACAGUGUUGGUGGCUACCAAAUGUCCUGUUUCCAGCAGAAGCCAGGGGGCCCUCCCCAGUCCCUCCUGAUGUUCAAGUCAGACUCAGAUAAGCCCCAGGGCUCCGGGAUCCCCAGUCACUUCUCUGGAUCCAAGGCUGCCUUGGCCAACAGAGGGCUCCUGCUCAUCUCUGGGCUGCAGACUCAGGAUGAGGCUGAUUAUAACUGCUACUGUCCCCAAAACACUGGGUAUGAAGAGGGGAAGGAGCAGUGUGGGGACGCUCUGCUCAGCUGUGGGGCCACAGACGGCAGGACGCCCUGA
This is a non-coding RNA of Bubalus bubalis (water buffalo), 441 nucleotides long. Lineage: Eukaryota; Metazoa; Chordata; Mammalia; Artiodactyla; Bovidae. The record is from the annotation of a RefSeq genome assembly.